AGAGGUUUAGGAUAGGUAGACCAAGGGCCUUCAAAGCCCUAAGCGAGGGUGGAAACCCCCCAACCUCUG
RNAcentral lists this transfer RNA (69 nucleotides) under Monopenchelys acuta (redface moray). RNAcentral describes it as "tRNA-Trp". It matches the Rfam family "tRNA". From Rfam's summary of the family: Transfer RNA (tRNA) molecules are approximately 80 nucleotides in length. Their secondary structure includes four short double-helical elements and three loops (D, anti-codon, and T loops). The record is from RNAcentral. Lineage: Eukaryota; Metazoa; Chordata; Actinopteri; Anguilliformes; Muraenidae.